UCUCAAAAUACAGCGAUAGCAGAAAUAGUAUUUAACCCUGUAAGCCGGAAACGAGGCUACAUUUACAUCAAGUCAGCGGCCAUAUUGGAAGAAAACAAAAGAAAAAUAGGGUGUAGCACCGAUACUAAAUGUCCGAAAUAGAUAAAGCCAUAUCAAAACUGGGAUAGGAACCAGUGUGGCAGUUGGCAUAACAUAACAUAGCUGGUUGGGAGCUGUUAGUAACGUUCACAAGAAAGUGGGUCACCAGACAGUGAGCGCACAUUGAGUUCUGUGAUUUACGAAAGCAUCUGCAGAGACUGGCGUGAGUGCCUUGUGUUGUGUAGUCGUAGCCUCCGUGUCCCUUGCCCGCACGCUAUCUACCCAGCAUGCCUUUUACUCAGAAGUCUGAGCAGGUGAUCAAGAAGAAGAAUGAGCGAGAUGCACUUGACCGCCACUAUCGCAUGAACAGACAGAAAGUAUCUGUCACGUUGAAAGACAUGAUCAACUUCUGUCGGCAGCACCAGAUGGAAGACCCGCUCAUCUUCCCAGUGCGAGAAAACCCUUUUAAGGAGAAGAAGACUUGCCAGAUAUUGUAGACCCUUGCAACUGCUUCGGGUGGACUUAUGUUGUCGUGUCUUCCCCCAUCCAGUCACUGUUAUUUUGUAGACUUCAAGUGCUUUCCAUUGUUGUGUUUCUAUUUUCAGUUCAGUUUAUUUCUAACAAGCAUGAGAAUUCCUAUGUUCAACAUUUAUUUACGAAUUAUUAGUUGCCUGAUUUUUAUGUCCCCCACUAUAGUAGUGGGGGACAUAUUGUUUUUGCCCUGUCUGUUGGGUCUGUUGGUUGGUUGGUUGGUCUGUUGGUUGGUUUGCGCCAACUUUAACAUUUGCAAUAACUUUUGCAAUAUUGAAGAUAGCAACUUGAUAUUUGGCAUGCAUAUGUAUCUCAUGGAGCUGCACAUUUUGAGUGGUGAAAGGACAAGGUCAUCCUUCAAGGUCAAAGGUCAAAUAUAUGGGUCAAAAUCGCUCAUUUAAUGUACACUUUUGCAGUAUUUCAAUAUUCAAGAUAGCAACUUGAUAUUUGGCAUGCAUGUGUAUCUCAUGGAGCUGCACAUUUUGAGUGGUGAAAGGUCAAGGUCAUCCUUCAAGGUCAGAGGUCAAAAUUAUGUGGACAAAAUCGCUUAUUUUAUGAAUACUUUUGCAAUAUUGAAGAUAUUUGGCAUGCAUGUGUAUCUCAUGGAGCUGCACAUUUUGAGUGGUGAAAGGUCAAGGUCAUCCUUCAAGGUCAAAUAUAUGGGUCAAAAUUGCUCAUGUAAUGUCACUUCUGCAAUAUUGAAGCUAGCAAUUUUAUAUUUGAAAUGCAUGUGUAUCUCAUGGAGCUGCACAUUUUGAGUCGUGAAGGGUCAAGGUCAAGGUCAUCCUUCAAGGUCAAACGUCAUAUAGGGGGACAUUGUGUUUCACAAACACAUCUUGUUAAAUUUUGUUUGUUGUUCCUGUAUUGAAGUAAUCACACAUAUUACACAUAUAACCACCGGUGUAAUAGUACAACUGAUAUCUGACCAAAACAAUUGAGCUAUUGUGUUUAAGUUUUGGACCAAAGAAAUCUUAAAAUUGACUUAUUAUUUAAAUCUCUUGACAAUAUUAACCCCAUGGCUGUGCAACUAUUCCAUGACAAACCAUCUUUUUGCCGUAUCAUUACAGGGUGGCUGGCUUUGAAAAUAUGAUUAAAGCAUAACUCAAUCAAAGUUUAUAUGAUGAAAUGUUAAAUGUGUUUGAUUUUUGUGAACAGUGUUUAAUUCAACUGAAGUACUAAAGAAUGUGUUUGUGAAAAUUUAAACUACUAGUAUGAUUUGAAAAAAUAAUCAGGCAUCUUUAUGUCACAAAAUCAUUUGUAAAGAAAAUUUCUUGUUAACAUCCAAUUAUGAGGGGGUUUUGCCGUUAGUGACCAGUUCAUGUAAAGAUUGUAAUCAAUAUUGUUAAUAAUACGAAAUCUAUAGUCCUUCAAAUGCACUGAGACAUUUUGUAAAUUUUGCUUUGUUGAAAACAGCUCUUCAAAUCUUAAAUUAAACAGGUUCUUUCUAUUUGCUUUUCAUUUUACUGAUUGUAUAAUUUGAAACAAAUAGUAAAAUAAUUUUAAAACCUUUUUUACUAUUCGUGGUGCUUCAUGUUCAGGCGGCCAUUGGAUUCAUAGAGCAUCAAGUGUAUCCAUUCCUGUAUCACUUCCAUAAUGAUGUUGGUGCUGUUAAGGGUAUAUUUGACAAUAAAUUUUGUAUUAUUCUUCAAUCUUGAGGAUUAAACUAUUUAUUUGUUUCUUUAAAUGGCGUUGAGUCAGAAUUUGUAUUCGUAAUUUUUUGUUGAGUAUUUAUUUGAAGGUUUAGGCAUUACAACUUACAGACUUUAUGGUAAAUAAUAUUUGUAUGCCCCCGGAUCGAAAGAUCGGGGGUAUAUUGUUUUUGGCCUGUCUGUCUGUCUGUCAUUGUUUCAGUCAUUGUAUGUGUGUGUCACAAAACUUUAAGUUUGGUUAAACUUUUAUAGCUUUUGCAAUAUUGAAGAUAGAAACUUCAUAUUUGGCAUGCAUGCAUGUGUAUCUCAUGGAGCUGCACAUUUUGAGUUGUGAAAAGUCAAGGUCAAGGUCGUCCUUCAAGGUCAAAGGUCAAAUAUCAUUGUAUUUUUUGUUCCUAAAACUUUAACCUUCGUUAAAGUUUGGUCAUAACUUUUUGAAUAUUGAAGAUAGCAACUUGAUAUUUGGCAUGCAUGUGUAUUAUGGAGCUGCACAUUUUGAGUGGCUAAAGGUCAAGGUCAUCUUUCAAGGUCAAGGGUCAAAUUUAUGGCUUCAAAGCGGUGCAAUAGGGGGCAUUGUGUUUCUGACAAACACAUCUCUUGUACAUUUAGGUGUAAUCUGAAAGAUAUGUUGACUUUUUAAAUAAAAAUUCUUUACAUUGACUUGUAGUUGCCUGAACAAAAUAAGCAUUCAAACUCUGCUUUGAGCAAAAUCGUUGAUUAUUUGUGGUGUUUUAUUCCGUGUCUUUUUGUUGCAAAAAAAGACAUAAAGUAAGGUAUCCAUGUACCAUUUCCAUUUUCUAUUGUGUGUAUGGUACGUGAAUGGCGUUCAACAGACAUCGAUAUCAUAAUAUUGGCGGUUAUGAACAGAAACCACGUGAACCACUGAACUCGUGUAUUUCUGAUAGAAUCAUGACUGAAUCAUGAAGAUGCGAGUCGAUUGACAUAUAGUUUUCCCGACAUUGCCAUUGGCAAUGAUGUAUUUGGAGACCGGACACCAAGCAUGUUUACUAACACGCUCCAAUUCAUCAAAACGUAUGAAGAUUGGUUUCAAAAACCGUUUCACUUACUUAACAAAAUUACCUUAACAUAGUUUUUCAGCCUCAUUAACAAGGAGUUGCGAAUUUCAUCAUCUUUGUAAUCUUUGACAUCUUGGUUAAAGCCAAUGAAUUACGCAAGUGUUCUUUCGCUUGAUGCUUUCAAACAAUUAUGCCUACCUCUGCACAGUCCAUAACAUAGAAACUGUUAAUAAUUCAGAAGCCGUAACUAUCGAUUUUUGUGAUCAAUAUGUUACGCGUGUGUCAAUACAUUGUUACUACCGAAUAACAAACCGUUAAAGAGCCUCGCACAGUAUAUCAUUUUGUGCCAAUCAAUACGUUACCUACUACUUUUCCAUUCCUGUUAAAGAUGUAAAGUGACGGGUACUUUUCUGUCAGUUCGUACCUCUGCUUUAAAAUCAAUUCCUGCCAGAUGUAGUGACACUGCCGACAAGAGGUAGAUUCAAUAGUUAUGCAUUCGCUGGUGUUGGUUGUUCUAAAUUAGUGACUCGCAUGUCCUGACUUUCUGUCUUACGCAUGCUCACUUAAGUAACGCUGCAUCAGUUGUGAAUUGCAUUAGGUCCGUGGAUUUUAUAUAAUCUGAAACUGAAUAGAUCGUCUUACAUGAGGAUUAAACUACAAUACUACAUAUGAUUAUAAUCCGGAAGUAAAGGUGUAUCUUGGUAAGGCUUGACGAGGCGUUACACUUGU
RNA transcript from Dreissena polymorpha, 4003 nucleotides. It is a transcript of the gene named guanine nucleotide-binding protein subunit gamma-1-like, with no coding region annotated. The transcript has 5 exons. The record is from RefSeq and is a predicted model, not a curated record. NCBI's taxonomy places the organism in Eukaryota, Metazoa, Mollusca, Bivalvia, Myida, Dreissenidae.